This 460-nucleotide ribosomal RNA is filed under the name uncultured bacterium. Its description in RNAcentral is "partial 16S ribosomal RNA". It matches the Rfam family "Bacterial small subunit ribosomal RNA", at positions 338 to 795 of the family's 1533-position model. The record is from RNAcentral.
CCUACGGGAGGCAGCAGUGAGGAAUAUUGGUCAAUGGGCGCUAGCCUGAACCAGCCAAGUAGCGUGAAGGAUGACUGCCCUAUGGGUUGUAAACUUCUUUUAUAUGGGAAUAAAGUGCAGUAUGUAUACUGCUUUGCAUGUACCUUAUGAAUAAGGAUCGGCUAACUCCGUUCCAGCAGCCGCGGUAAUACGGAGGGUGCGAGCGUUAAUCGGAAUUACUGGGCGUAAAGCGCACGUAGGCUGUAUGUCAAGUCAAGGGUGAAAUCCCACGGCUCAACCGUGGAACUGCCUUUGAAACUGGCAAACUGGAGUAUGUGAGAGGGCGGCGGAAUUCCUGGUGUAGGAGUGAAAUCCGUAGAUAUCAGGAGGAACAUCAGUGGCGAAGGCGGCCGCCUGGCACAAAACUGACGCUGAGGUGCGAAAGCGUGGGUAGCAAACAGGAUUAGAUACCCCAGUAGUC